GCCUGGUCCAAGCACAGCAGUGUUUAGAAUAAGUUGAUCACAGACCAUUACUGAUUUCUUUGUUUCUUCUUCACUCCCACUGCUUUACUUGACUAGCCUUAA
The sequence is a Y RNA, 102 nucleotides long. It matches the Rfam family "Y RNA". Rfam says of the family: Y RNAs are components of the Ro ribonucleoprotein particle (Ro RNP), in association with Ro60 and La proteins. The Y RNAs and Ro60 and La proteins are well conserved, but the function of the Ro RNP is not known. The record is from Ensembl.